Molecule: microRNA precursor, 91 nt
Filed under: Cucumis melo (muskmelon)
Lineage: Eukaryota; Viridiplantae; Streptophyta; Magnoliopsida; Cucurbitales; Cucurbitaceae
Source: RNAcentral
AGUGGAACAUGAGCCAAGAAUGACUUGCCGGCCGACUUUCGACACCUCUCGUUUUGUGGUCGGCACGGUCUUCUUCGGCUCUUGUUCCCUC